GACGAACGCUGGCGGCGUGCUUAACACAUGCAAGUCGAACGGUGAUGCUCCAGCUUGCUGGAGUGGAUCAGUGGCGAACGGGUGAGUAACACGUGAGCAACCUGCCCCAGACUCUGGAAUAAGCGCUGGAAACGGCGUCUAAUACUGGAUACGAAACUGGCCCGCAUGGGCAUGGUUUGGAAAGUUUUUCGGUUUGGGAUGGGCUCGCGGCCUAUCAGCUUGUUGGUGAGGUAAUGGCUCACCAAGGCGACGACGGGUAGCCGGCCUGAGAGGGCGACCGGCCACACUGGGACUGAGACACGGCCCAGACUCCUACGGGAGGCAGCAGUGGGGAAUAUUGCACAAUGGGCUAAAGCCUGAUGCAGCGACGCCGCGUGAGGGAUGACGGCCUUCGGGUUGUAAACCUCUUUCAGCAGGGAAGAAGCGAAAGUGACGGUACCUGCAGAAGAAGCACCGGCUAACUACGUG
RNAcentral lists this ribosomal RNA (468 nucleotides) under uncultured bacterium. Its description in RNAcentral is "partial 16S ribosomal RNA". It matches the Rfam family "Bacterial small subunit ribosomal RNA", at positions 28 to 507 of the family's 1533-position model. The record is from RNAcentral.